GUUUCUGUAGUGUAAGCGGUUAUCACGUUUGCCUAACACGCAAAAAGGUCCUCGGUUGAAACCGAGCAGAAACA
RNAcentral lists this transfer RNA (74 nucleotides) under Anguilla anguilla (European eel). RNAcentral describes it as "tRNA-Val". The record is from RNAcentral. Lineage: Eukaryota; Metazoa; Chordata; Actinopteri; Anguilliformes; Anguillidae.